UUCUUUUUCGCUGCACCCCACGUGCCAGGUCGUCCCCUAGCUCCAGCACUGGCCACCAACUGUACGAGUUCGUCUCCAAAACUGACCAGGAAAAUCUCCGGUUCUUGUUCAAUUUUGAUCCGUUUCGCACGAAAUAAAAUCCCUAUAAAUACCCACAUACCUCCUCUGUUUGUGGCCCUCAGAAACCCUAAUUUUGGUGCCGCCAGGCCGUCCAAUUUCACCGCCGGAGCCCCGCCUACCGCCGCAGUAUACCGUGGAUUCCGAUGAAAAUUUCAAAACGACAAUUCGUCAAUGACACUGAUAUCACCGUCGUCGUAUGAACCUGGCCGCCAUCGCGCCAUGUGACUCCGGCCGCCUCUGCUCACCGUUGAAGGAAGAGCACCAGCGCGAUGAACACGCUCUCGAGUUCCCCACAUCGAGCAGCACCUGCCACAUGCCAUUAUAACUGAACUGGUUCAACCAUAGUCCGAUCGUUUGGUGCUACCUCAUCCAUAUGGCGUGGAGACAAUCUACACAUGUGUUGAAACCUUGACAUCCUUUAGAAUAUUUGAUCCACAUCUUGAAUACCAUUCAUGUCUAUCCAAUCUCAUGUCAUUUGAUCAUGUUUAUUAAGUUUGGGCUAUUCAAAUUACAAAUGAGUUAUUUGAAUAAUUAAAUAUACCAUUGAUUCAUACCCAAGCCUUUGUGUAACUUGAGCUAUCGUGAUAAGUGUUGUCACACUUUAACUUAAUAGCAUUUAAGUUUUCACCGUGUGGAACCUAUGUGAUUAUUAUCACAUGGACCAUUCCAAUUUUGUUUAUUCCUUUAUAACCAAUAUGUCUUUUCCUGUUGGUCAUUGAUGUUACUUCUCUUUUUAA
This is a non-coding RNA of Lolium perenne, 857 nucleotides long. NCBI's taxonomy places the organism in Eukaryota, Viridiplantae, Streptophyta, Magnoliopsida, Poales, Poaceae. The record is from RefSeq and is a predicted model, not a curated record.